GUGAGGAAUAUUGCGCAAUGGAGGCAACUCUGACGCAGCCAUGCCGCGUGCAGGAAGAAGGCGCUACGCGUUGUAAACUGCUUUUAACCGGGAAGAAACCCCAGGACGUGUCCUGGGUUGACGGUACCGGAGGAAUAAGCACCGGCUAACUUCGUGCCAGCAGCCGCGGUAAUACGAAGGGUGCAAGCGUUAUCCGGAUUCAUUGGGUUUAAAGGGUGCGUAGGCGGAGCGUUAAGUCAGUGGUGAAAUCCUGCAGCUUAACUGUAGACUUGCAAUUGAUACUGGCGCUCUUGAGUGCGGUUUAAGUGGGCGGAAUGUGCCGUGUAGCGGUGAAAUGCUUAGAUAUGGCACAGAACACCAAUUGCUAAGGCAGCUCACUAAGGCGAUACUGACGCUGAGGCACGAAAGCGUGGGGAUCGAACAGGAUUAGAAACCCCAGUAGUCC
Molecule: ribosomal RNA, 445 nt
Filed under: uncultured bacterium
Lineage: Bacteria
Description: partial 16S ribosomal RNA
Rfam family: Bacterial small subunit ribosomal RNA
Source: RNAcentral